UUGGCACGGCUGCGUGUAUUAUCUAAAGGUAUAAUAGAUGCCACCCCAUGGGGGUUUCACAGCGAUUAACGUUUCUGGACCAUCGGAUAUUUACAGUGGUUGUCAGAUGUUAGAUCUCAUCCGUCCAUUGUGGACAGCAGCGCGGCUUGCUGGUUGGUUGGAGAGCAUGUGCGCGUUCUCCCGUCGGUCCAUGCUGCUAGAGAAAGGCAUGAAAUGGCCACGUGUUACUCGCAUCUGACUGCACAUGGGUCCCACAGUUUCCCGGGUCCGUCCGUCAGUCGCUGCGGGUGGCUUUUAGGUUGGUCUCACCUUGAGCCGGCCGUGGAAAAGAUAUUCUCCUCGCGCGGGGUAGACUGGGGCUUUCCUUUCGACGGUGUGCUCGACUCGCUGGCGGCGUGCCAUUAGCACACGGGAGGAACUCUGCCUGUGCAAGGAGACAUAGAGCCGCGCGCCGUCGCCUCGCAGGGACGAUCCACCUCACUUUCCCCUCGCCUCUUCCGCUCCACCUUCGUCGUUCUCUCUUCCUCGCCUCGUCCGCUUGGUCGCUGCCCUGCAGAUCCGCCGUCGCCUGCGUCUUCCGCGCGCUCCGCCCACGUCCGUCGGUGGUGGCCGAUCUUAGCCCAUGGCGGUGCUCUGUCCUGGGUUGGGUUAAGGGUGCAGGGUGCCAUGCGCGGGCGGUUGAGCGGGCGAGCAGCUGAAGGGUGCUAUGUGUGUGGCGGCUGAUGCGGGAAAAGGAGCAGGCGAGGGAGGAUGAGGAUUUGCCAGCCGGCCAGAGGUCACGGUGUACCCGGCGACGGAAGGGCAGCCAUGGGCGGUCGGUUGGGCGGCGCACGAGAAUCUGCAGGCGGCUCACACUUUCCCACUCUCGCUGGGCUCCUCUCUCUCUGAUCUGGCCAUAGUGCUGCAAUGUUCCCAUAGAGAAGCAUCAGGACCAGCAGUGAAAAAAAUCCUUCAGAUGCACCGCAUCAACCAGUUGGAGACAGAUCAAGGGUCAAGGUCUGAGUGUUGGGAAACGCCACAAGAAGGGGAUUUGUAGGAUGAAGGACACAAACCAAGUACCACAGUGCGCGUAGUCGUGGGCAUCUAUGAAGGCGCUCCUCAGGCUGCUCGAGUGCAUCCUGUAGUAGCGAGGUCGACAUCCUGGUUUGGGGCGAGUACCAUGGCGGCGUGCCACAUCCCUGCAGGCAAGCUGGGCAGCAGCAUUUCCACGGGUGAUGGGUACAGAACAUGUAAGCAAGGAGAGGAGGAAUUAAAAAAAAAUACCAAUUUGGCCACAUAUUUGAUUUGAGAAGCAAGGGUGGCCUGGAGUCCAUAUUCAGGUUCUCGGUUGACGAGAACACCGUUGUGCCCGGCACCGGUCACAACCAUGGCCAUCAAGAAGAUCAAAUAGGAACGCUUACAGGAUGCUGAAAAUGUGCAACCUGAAUGGAACUGGCUCAGAUGAUGAGACCACUGUUGUGCUGGCCAGCCCCGACACCGGGAUGGUAAUCUUCAUGAAGAAACUCAAAUAGGAAGGCCUCCAUAGUGCAGGCAUUGACUUAUUGGUGUGAUAUUUCGGUGUAACUGUUGCCAUGCGGCUACAUCUGCACUACACUUUACAUAUCGAUGAACUAAUAGGUGAUUCCUGGAUUUGUAUUUCCAGUUAUAUGCUUUCAAAGAAGGAAAGCCUAAGUGAGCAUGGAGAAAGAUUUUGAAUAAUCUAUCUGCCAUAUCAUAAAUCUGUUAAAUGUGAAAUAUAUUUAUGUUACAGGUCUAAAGUCAAUAGCGCAUUUUAUAUAAUUCUACAACUCUUAACAACUCUAUUUUUUGUUGCAAGAUAUAACUUCCUUCUUCUAUACCAUAUCUUCAAUUUCAGAGGAGUGGCAAGGUACCAACAAAUCAACAUCUUGAUUCCAGUGCACAUGCAACAACUGAAUUUCAAUGUUUAUUAUAGGUUGGCUUGGUGAGAUGGGCAUGCCCUUUGUCUGGUUGCCCUGCUCCGCCUCAAGUGGCCUCCCACACUGCGUUCAUCCCUGGUUCGGCAUGGUCAUGUAAGACAUGGAUUUCUGUAACUCAUGCUGCUUGGUUCAUGGCCUCUUCGUAACAAGAAAUGAGUGGUUGUAUUCUUUGGUCGUGCAAGAUGUAUGAUGUAUGCUCAAUCAUUUUGAUUAUUUUUAAAAAAUUCUAGAAAAGGAGAGCAGAUGAGGAGCGAGGGUGUCGAGGCAAACAUCGUCACCUGGAACAUCGUGAUCCAUGGGUUGUGUAACUAGGAGGACAAAGGAGGCGGCCCAGCUCAACAGGGACAUGGUGGCGACAGGGGUGGAGACGAACACCACGUUGGUCAAUGGGUAUUAUUGGGCAUGUCGCAUGUGAUGUGGGGGAGGCCAUCAGGCUGCAAAGGGCCAAUGGGAACAUGGGAUUCUAAACAAAAUAGUGUACAUCUUAGCAUCGGUGAGCUCUUUUUUUCCUUCGGAUGUUUCUUACUGUUGUGGUGCAAAAAGUUAUGGCAAGUUUACUUUUUGGUGCAAAAAGUUAUGACAAGCCGAGGGUGUCAACUGCAGACAUUGUGAUACAUUUAAACGGACUUAUCGAGCUAGAGGACUGGUUGGAGAUGACAA
Molecule: non-coding RNA, 2597 nt
Organism: Lolium perenne
Lineage: Eukaryota; Viridiplantae; Streptophyta; Magnoliopsida; Poales; Poaceae
Source: RefSeq, a predicted model, not a curated record